Molecule: long non-coding RNA, 5472 nt
Organism: Leopardus geoffroyi (Geoffroy's cat)
Lineage: Eukaryota; Metazoa; Chordata; Mammalia; Carnivora; Felidae
Exons: 2
Source: RefSeq, a predicted model, not a curated record
UGCUCGUGCUUUCUCUCUCUCUCAAAACAAAUUUAAAAAAAAAAAAUUUUUUUAAGUGUCACCAUUUCAGAUCACUCCAACUUUUCAUCUGAAAACAAAUGUUGAGACCCCUUAACGGCACUCAACACAUUCUGGCUUUUUUUUUUUUUAAGUUCAUUUAUUUAUGUCAUCUUUACACCCAAAGUGGCGCUCAAACUCACGACCCCAAGAUCAAGAGUCACAUACUCUUCUGACUGAGCCAGCCACGCUCCCACUUUUUAUUAUUUAAUUUUUUUUAAUGUUUAUUUUUGAGACAGACAGAGUGUGAGUGGGGGAGGGGCAGAGAGAGAAGGAGACACAGAAUCUGAAGCAGGCUCCAGGCUCUGAGCUGUCAGCACAGAGCCCAAUGUCAGACCUGAGCUGAAGUCGGACACUCAACCGACUGAGCCCCCCAGGCAUCCCCCCACUUUUUAAUAUAAAAAUUCUCUAACAAAUUCUUUUUGAGUCUUUUACUACCCCUUUACAGGUGCUAUAAUUUUUCUUUCUUCUAAUUAGGGAGGAGCCCUAAAUUGCAGGAGGUGGGGGGUGGGGGGGUGGGGAGGGUGUUUCUAGAAGCGAAGACCCACAGGGGCUGCAGGAAGGGUUGGUUCCAGCAAAACCAACCCUACCUACCACCUUCCACCCAGUUGUCAGUUGGCCUGCCUGGGGGCUAAUGACUCAACCUGUUCUCUCCCCAGCAGUUUCUCAUUCCCAAGAAUGCAAAGUCAUUUUAAGCUAGAGCAGGAAGAGAAACAGGAGUCCCAGCGCUGACAUUUCCCUCCUUUGGAGCCACCGGGGGAGAGAGAAGCCUGCCCAAGAAUGUCUGAUUUUUGUAGCACCUAUCCUCAAGGCACCACACACCCUUAAAAUAACUGCACAAGUGUGUGUCCUGGGCCUACAUCUGGGAUGGUGACACUCUCAAAGGCUGCGUUCCAGCAUACAUUACAUUACACAUCUCCAUCCGCCCAGACCCUGCUGCUAACACUCGCUUGCAUUUGAAAUCUCCCUUCCGGCCAGACGGCUGGAUUCCAAGAGCAUGAGAAGGGUUCUUUGAGCCCUUGUGGUUGGGGGGGGGGGGGGGGGUGACUGCUCUGCUGCCCGGCCUCCCACCACAGAAGCGCAGAGCUCCCCAUAUGACUGCCGUCAAACAUUUGCUGGGCUGGCCUAGUCACAGAGGGGACCCCAAACCACCAGUCCCCGCCUAGAGAUGUUGGUGGCCACAAGGCCCCUGAAUACAGCAAACAUCUGGGGAAUGGCAGGGGGCACAGGAAGGUUACUUAAGAUUGCUGUUGGAGCUGAGCCCUGAGGGUGACCAGGAAGGAGGCUGCCUGGGCGUGCCAAGCACCAGACACAGCCACGGCAAAGCCAGGCCUUCUGGACACUGGGGUUCCCUGGGUCCCUCUGCCAUAGGCACCAGGGUUACAGUCCCAUCAAAGGAAAGGUGAGGUUACCCCCGCCCCGAUCUCAGAAAACUUAAACCACGAAGCGCCUUAUUCAAAAUUUCCCCAACCCCUCAGCUAUUUACAGGAUGGCAGUGGUGUCCAGGUCCAAGAAGUCAGUCAAGUCACAGCCUUAUCCUUCGGUCUGUGAUGAAGGACAGGGAGUCAGAGCCUGACUCUGACCUUGCUUGACCCAAGUCCCUCCUACAGACCAGCCCCCAGCCAGGGGGAAGAGAAAGGCAGCGUGUAGGAACACGGUAUUCACUUCCUAUUGCUGUUGUGACAAACCACCACAAAUGCAGUGGCUGAGCACAACACAAACUUCUCUUCGGUUCUGGAGGUCAGGAACCGGUCAGCAGGGCUGCGUUUUCCUUCUGGAGGCUCUCCAGAGACACCAUGCCUUUACCGUUCCCGGUUUCUGAGGCCACCUGUAUCCCUCAGCUUGUGGCCACAUUGCUUUGACCUCUGCUUCGUUGUCUCAUCUCCUUCCGCCCCUCCUGUCUCCCUCUUACAAGGACUGGUGCGGUUACACUGGGCCCACUCAGGUGAUCCAGGAUGCUCUCCGACCUCAAGAUCCUUGACCUUAGUCACAUCCGCAAAGCUCCUCUGCAUGUCAGGGACCAUAUUCACAAGUUCUGAGGACACCUGUUGGGGGGACUUUAUUCUGUCUAGCCCAACACAAGACUCUUGCAGUUCUCGGCCAUCCCACGAAUCUCGGACACUCCCUUGAAGUGUUCAGAGGCAGGCCAGGUGCAGAUCAGGAUUCAUCCAGAGUUUCGUUAGGAGCUUCAACAGUCACCAAGGUGGAUAUGGGAACUCAGCCCCCACGUGCCCACAGGAUUCUAAAGAGACAAUGGGCAGGGUGCCUGGACACUUCAGUUAAGCAUCCAAAUCUUGAUUUUGGCCCAGGUCAUGAUCUCGAGGUUUGUGAGUUCAAGCCCCAUGUCAGGCUCUGCACUGUCAGUGCAGAGCCUGCUAAGGAUUCUCUCUCUCUCUCUCUCCCUCCCUCCCUCCCUCCCUCCCCUGCUCCUGCUCUCUCGCUCUCUCUCAUCUGUCUCAAAGUAAAUACAUAAACUUUAAAAAAAUAAAAUAAAGAAAUAAGAAACACAUAAAGAGACACUGAGCAAAACCAAACACCGACACAGGGAUCCCUGAUGGGGAGAAGCGCCCUGGGCCUGGGUGAUAGAGACCUAAGGCCCCAGACCCGGAAACCUUGGCCCUAAGUUGCGGGGAGGGGUAAUAUUCCUGACCCCUGGGCCCACCGGAAAGCCCAUGAGAGAUGCCCAGACCAGACAGGCCUUCCCACUGCUCACUUCAAGGCCACCUGGCUUCACUGAAGGCCAAGUCCCUCAGACCCUGCCAAGUGACUCUGAGCAGUGACAGACACCUCCCAAAGAGAGGUGUUUGGAACCUGAGCCCAGCACGAGGCAUGCCAAAGCCAACAGGGGCCUGCUGGGUCCCCCACUGACAGGCCCAGGGGUGCUAGGCCCUGGCCUCAGCCGCCUUCCCAGACACAAUCAACUCUAGAAACAGGCAAUGGCUUCAUCUGGCGCUCCUGGAGCCCUCAAAUUUAGGGGAGGUUCCGAAGCCCUGGCACAACCCGAACAAAUGAUUGGCAAAGGCAGUUAAUUCCUGAGUCCCCUCACUCCCCAUUCAGGCCUGGUCUCCCCGAGCCCGGGAGAGGGGACAAGGGAGAAGACAGGGGCCAGAAAGGGCACUCACUUCACAGGUUCCAUUAAGGGGUAUGACGGUCCUAUUUUUUUUCAAGUGAGGGAAUUCAGAGAGGUCAAGAAACUCACCCAAAUGUUAUGCUAAAUGGAAGAAGCUGGACAGAGAAAGACACAGACUGCAUGGUGUUACUUACAUGUGAAAUCUAAAAAAAAAAAAAAAAAAAAAAAAAAUGCAGCUCAUAGGAACAGAGACCAGAAAAGAAAUGGGGGGAGGCUGGUGAAAGGGACAAGCUUUCCGUUCCAAGAUGAAUAAGAUCUGAGGAUCCAGUAUAGGACAGGGUGACUACUGAAGUUUACCGAGAGUGGGACUUAACUGUCCUCACCAGCUCCAACAGAAACAAAUACGUGAGGCAAUGGAUGUGCUAAUUAACUCAGUUGUGACAAUCAUCUUGCAAUUUAUGCAUACAACAAAUCACAUCGUACACUUUUUUUUUUACUGUUUUAUUUACUUUUGAGAUGGAGAGAGACAGAGCACAAGUGGAGGAGGGGCAGAGGGAGAGAGGGAGACACAGAAUCCGAAGCAGGCUCCAGGCUCUGAGCUGUCAGCACAGAGCCCAACACGGGGCUCAAACACCAUGAAGUGUGAGAUCAUGACCCGAGCUGAAGUCGGGCGCGUAACCAACUGAGCCACCAAGGCGCCCUCCACAUCGUACACUUUAAAUACGUUACAGUUUUAUUUUUCAGUUAUACCUCAAUAAAGCUGGAAAGAAUAUACACGUAUUUAAAAAAAUAAAAAGAAACUCGUCCAAAAGCUCAAAGCAAGUAAGUCACAGCAGAACCACAAUCUAAAGCUGCGUCUGUCAGCAAAGACCAUCCUCACUCCGUGGCCUGGGAGGGCAGGGGUCCAGCCAGGUCUUGGGGGUGAGGCUUCUGGGGUUUCUGGAGGCGCAACAGUUCUGGACACAGCUGUCCCCCACCCCCCACGCCGCCAACUGCCCCAACCCUGGGCUGAAACCCCUCCUCCACACUUGACCCUGGGGAGGUUGGGGGAGCCCUGUGGGUGAAGAGCCAGAAGGCACUUCCAGGGGCUGUGACGGGUCUCAGAUGUCUCAGGUGUGCCGAGACCACGUGGGGUGGGGACUGGACACGCCACAGGACACCUGUCUCUCCCUUCUCCACAAGGCUGGCUGAGUACGGUGUCACUUGGAAUCCACGCGCUCCAAGCAGAAGGACCACGGAAGCAGAGCUCAGCUCUGUCGCAGGAAGGGUUGCGGCUCCCCAAGGAAGGCAGAUGGUCACUGGCCCGACUGCAGGGGCUGAACGCCCGCCAUCAGGGUGGGGACCCUGGUACACAGGGAAGGUGGCGGGGCCGAUGUCUUAGGAAGGUUCUGAAUCCACCAUCGAGAGAGAGAGCAGCUGGCCAGGUCACUGGACUCAAGGAGACCACAAAGGCACCCAAAAGCACAGGCCGGUCAGGCCUCGGGGGACCCAGUGCCUGCUCCCGGUGACAGGCACACCCCCCCCACCUCCUUCACGUUCGGGCUCCCACCCUGCCGGGCUCUGCAGCUGCAAGCCAUGGCAACGGGCCCCAAACGUCUCGACAAAUCCCUCAGAGAGCCCCACGCAGGGUGUCACAGCCGCAACCUAAAGCCAAGAGCCUGGGCCCCGCGCAGAAGUGAAAAACGCCAAAAAGAGAAGGCCCUGAUUCCUCAGAAGGGAGAAGCCUGAGUCUGGGCAAAGGGCAGCCUCCCUACCCCGGAGGCCACCAGCCUGCUGUCUCCACAAGCCCCACUCCCCCAGCCUGUGACGUCUACACUGAAGACAUGACUCAUCACCUCACCACACCCCCAAAUUGGCUGCGGCUUCCCCCAACCCCCACUGGCACCAAGGCCUCUGUGACAGGUGCCUCCCUCCUGGUCCAGGGAACCUCACCCCUGCUGGCAGCUCUGUCCCCAGCAUACCUGGCUCCAUGCCCUCCCCCACAGGCCACUGCUCUCACACUUCCGACUCCCUGCCCACGCGGGCAGCCCCCCAUCUGGAACACCCCCGCUCCCCGUGCCACCCUCGCCCGCAACAGAACCCAGGGGGCAGCCCAAGGGGAAGGCCCAUAAGGAGCCCAGGGAGUCAGAGCACAACCAGAACCAGACUCCUUACCAAAGGACAGCCCUAACAAGAUGGAAGGAUCCAGCCCCAAAAUGCAAACAGUGCCCAAGCUGAGGAGCCCUGAGCUACAUUCGUCUGUGAACACGCACACAGAUCUGCCAAGACCUGCAGUUGGUUCAAAAAACCAGAACUUUCAACUCAAUAAAUAUGUAUGUGUGUACGUACGUACGCAUUUAUGUAAA